Molecule: ribosomal RNA, 354 nt
Filed under: Myurella andamanica
Lineage: Eukaryota; Metazoa; Mollusca; Gastropoda; Neogastropoda; Terebridae
Also listed under: 1 other name
Description: partial 12S ribosomal RNA
Source: RNAcentral
UUACCAGAGUACUAUGAAUCUUUAAAAAUUUAAAACUCAAAGAACUUGGCGGUGUUUUAGACCACCCAGGGGAACCUGUCUCGUAAUCGAUAAUCCACGUUACACCUGACCUCUUUUUGUUUUCAGUUUGUAUACCGUUGUCGUCAGGUAACUUUUUAGAAAUUAGGAGUUAGCAAUGAAAAUAUUGAUAAUUUAUUAUGUCAAAUCAAGGUGCAGCUAAUAAAGAGGGGAGGAUGGGUUACAAUUAUAUAAUUUAUAAUGACGGGUAAAUAUAUGGAUAUGUGUUGAAUUAUAAGGAGGACUUGGAAGUAAAUUAGAGUAUAUAGAUAAUUUGAAUUAGGCUCUGAAACGUGU